GACGAACGCUGGCGGCGUGCUUAACACAUGCAAGUCGAACGGAACUUCUUGGAUAGAGGCUUCGGCCAAUUGAAUUGAAGUUUAGUGGCGGACUGGUGAGUAACGCGUGAGGAACCUGCCUUUCAGAGGGGGACAACAGUUGGAAACGACUGCUAAUACCGCAUGACACAUUCGGGCGGCAUCGCUUGAAUGUCAAAGAUUUUAUCGCUGAAAGAUGGCCUCGCGUCUGAUUAGCUAGUUGGUAGGGUAACGGCCUACCAAGGCGACGAUCAGUAGCCGGACUGAGAGGUUGACCGGGCCACAUUGGGACUGAGAUACGGCCCAGACUCCUACGGGAGGCAGCAGUGGGGAAUAUUGGGCAAUGGACGCAAGUCUGACCCAGCAACGCCGCGUGAAGGAAGAAGGGCUUUACGGGUUGUAAACCUCUUUUACCAGGGACGAAGAACGUGACGGUACCUGGAGAAAAAGCAACGGCUAACUACGUG
This 485-nucleotide ribosomal RNA is filed under the name uncultured bacterium. RNAcentral's name for it is "bacterial SSU rRNA". It matches the Rfam family "Bacterial small subunit ribosomal RNA", at positions 28 to 507 of the family's 1533-position model. The record is from RNAcentral.